AAUUGGCUUCACUUCCAUCACAGUAUCCUAACAGUUAUACAGAGAGAAAUCCCUGAUCUGAGUGCUUGUUGGGAACAAAGUCACAACUAUUGACCAACAACAGUUUUUGAGGAAAGCGUCUUCAUCAGCUACUGCAUGCAGUAUAUUUCCCAGGCUUGAGGUCUUCAUUACCUCUUGGAUGAUUUGAGUGACAACAAAGUGACGUGCAGAAAGAAAACAGAAGAAAGCACAAAAAUUAACAAAAAUAAUGUAAAAUAAAUAAAAGGGUGU
Molecule: long non-coding RNA, 270 nt
Organism: Rhineura floridana
Lineage: Eukaryota; Metazoa; Chordata; Lepidosauria; Squamata; Rhineuridae
Exons: 3
Source: RefSeq, a predicted model, not a curated record